GGACCCGCACAAGUAGUGGAGCAUGUGGUUUAAUUCGAAGAUACGCGCAGAACCUUACCAACACUUGACAUGUUCGUCGCGACUUUAAGAGAUUAAAGUUUUCGGUUCGGCCGGACGAAACACAGGUGCUGCAUGGCUGUCGUCAGCUCGUGUCGUGAGAUGUUGGGUUAAGUCCCGCAACGAGCGCAACCCUCACUUUUAGUUGCCAUCAUUUAGUUGGGCACUCUAGAGAGACGCCGGUGAUAAGCCGGAGGAAGGUGGGGAUGACGUCAAGUCCUCAUGGCCUUUAUGUCCAGGGCUACACACGUGUUACAAUGGGGGUGACAAAGAGUGGCCAAGCUGCGAAGCUGCG
RNAcentral lists this ribosomal RNA (352 nucleotides) under uncultured bacterium. RNAcentral describes it as "bacterial SSU rRNA". It matches the Rfam family "Bacterial small subunit ribosomal RNA", at positions 917 to 1267 of the family's 1533-position model. The record is from RNAcentral.